Long non-coding RNA from Limulus polyphemus (Atlantic horseshoe crab), 108 nucleotides. RefSeq lists it as uncharacterized. The transcript is spliced from 2 exons. The record is from RefSeq and is a predicted model, not a curated record. Lineage: Eukaryota; Metazoa; Arthropoda; Merostomata; Xiphosura; Limulidae.
UUUCUGGUAUACAAUGCAAGAGGCAACAUAUUCUGCAUGACCAUAUGUAAGCUGCUCUUAGUGGUAUAUAUUUAUAGGUUCGUACAAACAACCAAACAUAAUACUACA